Non-coding RNA from Paramuricea clavata, 469 nucleotides. Lineage: Eukaryota; Metazoa; Cnidaria; Anthozoa; Malacalcyonacea; Plexauridae. The record is from the annotation of a GenBank genome assembly.
GUAAUUCAUACUUAGAAGACGGAUUUCCGUCUAAGACGGGAAACUCGUGUGACGGAUUUCCGUCUGGUAUAAGUAUGAAACGAAAACCAUCGGACGGAGAAACCCGAAAAAAUAGGAGACCCUCCAUCCCAGUCUCUUUUGAACGUUACGAGCAGAAACCCGUCUUGAUUUAUUCGUCUGAUAUAAAUUUAAGACGGAUUUAAGACGGAUUUCCGUCUAAGACGAGAAACUCGUCUAACUUUCCCGUCGUUCAGACGGGAAAGUUAGACGGAAAAGUUGAGACGGAAAACCCGUCGUUAACCGAAUUUAUAUCAAGACGAGUUUCUCGUCUGAGACGAGUUUCCGUCUUAGACGGAAAUCCGUCUUCUAAUAUGAAUUCGGCUAUUGUCAACAUUCGUGAUAUAAAUAAAUUGAGUCUAGUUUAGUUACAAUGGACCACUAGGCCUCAAGCUCUGCCAUGAGAACAUGC